Molecule: ribosomal RNA, 237 nt
Filed under: uncultured bacterium
Lineage: Bacteria
Description: partial 16S ribosomal RNA
Rfam family: Bacterial small subunit ribosomal RNA
Source: RNAcentral
CGAACGGGUGAGUAACGCGUGAGGAACCUGCCUCAAAGAGGGGGACAACAGUUGGAAACGACUGCUAAUACCGCAUAAGCCCACGGCUCGGCAUCGAGCAGAGGGAAAAGGAGUGAUCCGCUUUGAGAUGGCCUCGCGUCCGAUUAGCUAGUUGGUGAGGUAACGGCCCACCUAGUCUUCGAUGGAUAGGGGUUCUGAGAGGAAGGUCCCCCACAUUGGAACUGAGACACGGUCCAA